Molecule: long non-coding RNA, 2037 nt
Filed under: Vitis vinifera (wine grape)
Lineage: Eukaryota; Viridiplantae; Streptophyta; Magnoliopsida; Vitales; Vitaceae
Description: long non-coding RNA (VVIN_LNC000335)
Source: RNAcentral
GAAUUGCUACUCAAGAAAAGAACUCUAGAAAAUUCAGAGUUCCUGAUUCAGAUCGGAAAUCUGAAAGAGGAGCUAGCGAACAAGGCUGUGGAUCAGCAGAGAACAAUGGAAGAGAAGGAGUGUUUGGUAUCGAAGGUGAAGGACCUGGAAUUGGAGAUGGACUCCAUAAGGAACCACAAAAGCGAACUGGAUGAGCAGCUACGCAGUAAACACCAUGAGUACAAUCAGUUGAGAGAGGAAAAGGAGGGCUUGCAUGUUAGGAGUUUUGACUUGGAGAAAACAAUAACAGAGAGAGGGGACGAGCUCUCUGCUCUGCAGAAGAAGUUUGAGGAUACAGAGAAUGAAGCAUCAGCUCGAAUCGUGGCAUUAACAGCAGAGGUUAACAGUCUGCGAGUGGAGAUGGAUUCUUUGCAAGCUCAGAAAGGUGAAUUGGAAGAACAGCUGAGACGCAGGGGCGAUGAAGCAUCAGAUCAGAUCAAGGACUUGAUGGGCCAGGUCAGUGAAACGAAACAGGAAUUGGAAUCUCUACACAGCCAGAAAACAGAAAAGGAAUUGCUACUCGAGAAAAGAACUCAAGAAAAUUCAGGGUUCCUGAUUCAGAUAGGAAAUCUGAAAGAGGAGCUAGCGAACAAGACUGUGGAUCAGCAGAGAAUGCUGGAAGAGAAGGAGAGUUUGGUAGCAAAGGUGAAGGACCUGGAAUUGGAGAUGGACUCCAUCCAGAACCACAAAAGCGAACUCGAGGAGCAGCUAAGCAGUAAACACCAUGAGUACAAUAAGUUGAGUGAGGAAAAGGAGGGUCUGCAUGUUAGGAGUUUUGACUUAGAGAAAACAUUAACAGACAGAGGGAAUGAGUUAUCUGCUCUCCAGAAGAAACUUGAGGAUGGGGCGAGUGAAGCAACUGCUCAAAUUCUGGCCUUAACAACACAAGUCAACAAUCUGCAACAAGACAUGGAAACCUUGAUUGCACAGAAAAGUGAAUUGGAGGAUCAAAUAGUGAGCAAAAGCAAUGAAGCUUCAGCUGAAAUCAAGGGCUUAAUGGACCGGAUCACUGAGAUGCAACAGGAAUUGGAUUCUCUAAGCAGCCAGAAAACCGAAAUGGAAUCACAGCUCGAGGGAAAAGUUCAAGAAAAUUCAGAAUACUUUAGUCAAAUAGGAAGUCUGAAAGACGAGCUAGUGAGCAAGGCUGCGGAUCAGCAGAGAAUGCUGGAAGAGAUAGAGAGUUUAACAGCACGGUUAAAGCACCUGGAAAUGGAGAUAGAGUUGAUUCGGAAACACGAAUGCGAACUUGAAGAGCAUAUAAGAGCCAAAGACCUGGAGUUCAAUCAGUUGAGAGAGGAAAAGGAGGGCUUGCACGUUAGGAGUUUUGACUUGGAGAAAACAAUUACAGACAGAGGGGAUGAGCUGUCUGCUCUACAACAGGAGCUGCAUUCCUUGCAGAAUGAGAAAAGCCAAUUGGAGUUAGAGAUCCAAAGACAUAAAGAAGAAUCUUCGGAAAGCCUGACGGAAUUGGAGAAUCAGAGGAUGGAGUUAACCAGCAAGGUUGAAGAACAUCAGAGAAUGCUAAGAGAACAGGAAGAUGCAUUCAACAAGUUAAUGGAGGAGUACAAACAAUCUGAAGGUUUGUUUCACGAGUUCAAGAAUAACCUGCAAGUCACAGAAAGGAGGUUGGAAGAAAUGGAGGAAGAGUCCCGCAUUCACCUUGAAUCCAAAGCCCACAUAAUUGCUGAUUUUGAAACCAUGGUUGAAGACCUGAAAAGAGACCUAGAAGUCAAAGGAGAUGAACUCAGUACUUUGGUGGAGGAGGUCCGCAAUAUCGAAGUUAAGCUCCGCUUAUCAAACCAGAAGCUCCGUGUCACAGAACAAUUACUAUCCGAGAAAGAAGAGAGCUACAGGAGAGCAGAAGAGAGGUUCCAGCAAGAAAACAGGGCACUUGAAGGAAAAGUUGCAGUAUUAUCAGAAGUAAUUACUUCCAACAAUGAAUCCCAUGUCAGGAUGAUCACAGAUAUCUCAGAGACAGUAAACAAUACCUUAGCUGGA